This 430-nucleotide ribosomal RNA is filed under the name Acanthamoeba sp. Its description in RNAcentral is "SSU rRNA". It matches the Rfam family "Eukaryotic small subunit ribosomal RNA", at positions 770 to 1097 of the family's 1831-position model. The record is from RNAcentral. Lineage: Eukaryota; Discosea; Longamoebia; Acanthamoebidae.
AGUGUUCAAAGCAGGCAGAUCCAAUUUUCUGCCACCGAAUACAUUAGCAUGGGAUAAUGGAAUAGGACCCUGUCCUCCUAUUUUCAGUUGGUUUUGCACGCGAGGACCAGGGUAAUGAUUAAUAGGGAUAGUUGGGGGCAUUAAUAUUUAAUUGUCAGAGGUGAAAUUCUUGGAUUUAUGAAAGAUUAACUUCUGCGAAAGCAUCUGCCAAGGAUGUUUUCAUUAAUCAAGAACGAAAGUUAGGGGAUCGAAGACGAUCAGAUACCGUCGUAGUCUUAACCAUAAACGAUGCCGACCAGCGAUUAGGAGACGUUGAAUACAAAACACCACCCAUCGGCCGCCCAAUGGCCGUCGUCCGGCUCGUCCGGGUGGCGGUCAUCGGGCGCUCGAUGGGCACCGGUGAAUGACUCCCCUAGCAGCUUGUGAGAAA